UUGGGAUUUCCCCGGCAAGGGACUGAGGAAGGAGCAGGAAGCGAGAUGGCUGCCAAGUCAGGAGAAGAGUAGAUUCCACACCUGAGAGAACCACCAGCAGGGAACCAAGUGUUCAAAUACGUGAGCCUGUGGGGGACAUUUCUCACUCAAGUCACCACAGGGUCCCACCAUACUUGGCUUGUUGCAUGGGUGCUGGGGAUGAAACUCAGAUCUCCAUGCUUAUACAUCAAGAAUGCUGCUGACUGAGAUGUCUCCUCAGCCCUUCCUGUCAAUAUUUUGAUCUCAAGACCUCUGUCCUCCAGAACCAAGAGACAACAAUUGCUGUUGUUGAACGUACUCAGUCUUCAAGGCUUCCUGACUGACCAGUACAAAUGCCACAGCGCUCAGUGUGGCUUUAAUUCCCAUACUCAGAAGGCUAAGAUAAGACACCUGAGUUGAGAGCUAGCCUAAGCUACAUAGUGAAGGCCUGUAUUUAAAAAAAAAGGAAGGGAAUGAGGAAAGGGGAUAACAUUUGAAAUUUAACUAAAGAAAAUAUC
RNAcentral lists this long non-coding RNA (536 nucleotides) under Mus pahari (shrew mouse). RNAcentral's name for it is "lncRNA (MGP_PahariEiJ_G0004894.1)". The record is from RNAcentral. Lineage: Eukaryota; Metazoa; Chordata; Mammalia; Rodentia; Muridae.